This 73-nucleotide transfer RNA is filed under the name Toxocara canis (dog roundworm). It matches the Rfam family "tRNA". From Rfam's summary of the family: Transfer RNA (tRNA) molecules are approximately 80 nucleotides in length. Their secondary structure includes four short double-helical elements and three loops (D, anti-codon, and T loops). Lineage: Eukaryota; Metazoa; Nematoda; Chromadorea; Rhabditida; Toxocaridae. The record is from Rfam by way of RNAcentral.
AGGGCAGUGGCACAUCGGGGAGAGCCCUCGCCUCGUAUGCGAAAAGACAGGGGUUCGACUCCCCUCUGUUCCG